RNAcentral lists this ribosomal RNA (496 nucleotides) under uncultured bacterium. Its description in RNAcentral is "partial 16S ribosomal RNA". It matches the Rfam family "Bacterial small subunit ribosomal RNA", at positions 28 to 506 of the family's 1533-position model. The record is from RNAcentral.
GAUGAACGCUGGCGGCGUGCCUAAUACAUGCAAGUCGAGCGAACAGACGAGGAGCUUGCUCCUCUGACGUUAGCGGCGGACGGGUGAGUAACACGUGGAUAACCUACCUAUAAGACUGGGAUAACUUCGGGAAACCGGAGCUAAUACCGGAUAAUAUAUUGAACCGCAUGGUUCAAUAGUGAAAGACGGUUUUGCUGUCACUUAUAGAUGGAUCCGCGCCGCAUUAGCUAGUUGGUAAGGUAACGGCUUACCAAGGCGACGAUGCGUAGCCGACCUGAGAGGGUGAUCGGCCACACUGGAACUGAGACACGGUCCAGACUCCUACGGGAGGCAGCAGUAGGGAAUCUUCCGCAAUGGGCGAAAGCCUGACGGAGCAACGCCGCGUGAGUGAUGAAGGUCUUCGGAUCGUAAAACUCUGUUAUUAGGGAAGAACAAAUGUGUAAGUAAAUAUGCACGUCCUGACGGUACCUAAUCAGAAAGCAACGGCUAACUACGU